This 497-nucleotide ribosomal RNA is filed under the name uncultured bacterium. Its description in RNAcentral is "partial 16S ribosomal RNA". It matches the Rfam family "Bacterial small subunit ribosomal RNA", at positions 28 to 507 of the family's 1533-position model. The record is from RNAcentral.
GAUGAACGCUGGCGGCGUGCCUAAUACAUGCAAGUCGAGCGAACGGACGAGAAGCUUGCUUUUCUGAUGUUAGCGGCGGACGGGUGAGUAACACGUGGAUAACCUACCUAUAAGACUGGGAUAACUUCGGGAAACCGGAGCUAAUACCGGAUAAUAUUUUGAACCGCAUGGUUCAAAAGUGAAAGACGGUCUUGCUGUCACUUAUAGAUGGAUCCGCGCUGCAUUAGCUAGUUGGUAAGGUAACGGCUUACCAAGGCAACGAUGCAUAGCCGACCUGAGAGGGUGAUCGGCCACACUGGAACUGAGACACGGUCCAGACUCCUACGGGAGGCAGCAGUAGGGAAUCUUCCGCAAUGGGCGAAAGCCUGACGGAGCAACGCCGCGUGAGUGAUGAAGGUCUUCGGAUCGUAAAACUCUGUUAUUAGGGAAGAACAUAUGUGUAAGUAACUGUGCACGUCUUGGCGGUACCUAAUCAGAAAGCCACGGCUAACUACGUG